AAUCCCAAAACUCAGACAUGGGGGAUCCCAAAACUCAGAGACGUGAGACCCCAAAACUCUGACAUGGAGGGACCCCAAAACCCAGAGACCUGGGACCCCAAAACUCAGACAUGGGGGACCCCAAAAACCCAGAGACCUGGGACCCCAAAAGCCAGAGACCCCAAAACGUGGACAUGGGGGAUCCCAAAACCCAGAGACCUGGGACCCCAAAACCCAGAGACCCCAGAACCUGAGUCAUAGGGACCCCACGACCUCUGACAUGGGGGGGGGGACCCUAAAACCCCCUGACAUGGGGGGGACCCCAAAACCCAGAGACCCCAGAACCUGACCCCCAGGAACCCCAGGAGCUCUGAGAUUGGGGAGGGGACCCCAAAACCCCCCGAGGUGGGGUGGGGGGGGACCCCAAAACCCUGAGACCCCAGAACCUGAGCCCCAGGAACCCCAGGACCUAUGAGAUGGGGGGGGACCCCAAAACCCCCCGAGGUGGGGUGGGGUGGACCCCAAAACCCUGAGACCCCAGAACCUGACCCCCAGGAACCCCAGGACCUCUGAGAUGGGGACGGGACCCCAAAACCUGAGCCAUAGGGCCCCUAGGACCUCUGAGAUGGGGGAGGGGACCCCAAAACCCCCCGAGGUGGGGUGGGGGGGGACCCCAAAACCCUGAGACCCCAGAACCUGACCCCCAGGAACCCCAGGACCUCUGAGAUGGGGGGGGACCCCAAAACCCAGAGACUCCAGAACCUGACCCAGAGGGAACCCAGGACCUUUGAGAUGGGGGAGGGGACCCCAAAACCCCCCGAGGUGGGGUGGGGUGGACCCCAAAACCCAGAGACCUCAGAAUCUGACCCCCAAGAACCCCAGGAGCUCUGAGAUGGGGGGGAGGGGACCCCAAAACCUGAGCCAUAGGGCCCCUAGGACCUCUGAGAUGGGGGAGGGGACCCCAAAACCCCCCGAGGUGGGGUGGGGGGGGGGACCCCAAAAAGCGGAGCGCCCCGUACCGGUGACGGGGGUGCGGUAGAAGCAGAAGAUGCGCGUGAUGGCAUCCAGGCUCUCCCACGACUCCGCGCGGUCCAGGAAACCCUUCAGCUUCGUCUCCAGGUUCCUGAGGGAACGAGAGGGGAUGGGGA
Molecule: long non-coding RNA, 1127 nt
Filed under: Numida meleagris (helmeted guineafowl)
Lineage: Eukaryota; Metazoa; Chordata; Aves; Galliformes; Numididae
Description: lncRNA (ENSNMEG00000000534.1)
Source: RNAcentral